CCUACGGGAGGCAGCAGUGGGGAAUAUUGGACAAUGGGCGAAAGCCUGAUCCAGCAAUGCCGCGUGAGUGAUGAAGGCCUUAGGGUUGUAAAGCUCUUUUACCAGGGAUGAUAAUGACAGUACCUGGAGAAUAAGCUCCGGCUAACUCCGUGCCAGCAGCCGCGGUAAUACGGAGGGAGCUAGCGUUGUUCGGAAUUACUGGGCGUAAAGCGUACGUAGGCGGUUAUUCAAGUCAGAGGUGAAAGCCUGGAGCUCAACUCCAGAACUGCCUUUGAAACUAGAUAGCUAGAAUCUUGGAGAGGUGAGUGGAAUUCCGAGUGUAGAGGUGAAAUUCGUAGAUAUUCGGAAGAACACCAGUGGCGAAGGCGACUCACUGGACAAGUAUUGACGCUGAGGUACGAAAGCGUGGGGAGCAAACAGGAUUAGAUACCCUGGUAGUCCACGCCGUAAACGAUGAUAACUAGCUGUCGGUCGUCUACGAGACUUGUAGUGGUCGCGAGACGUAACGACAUUAAGUUAAGUACCGUCCGUCGGGUAGGUACGGUCGCGAAGAAGUUAAAACGUUAAAACGGUAAAGUUAGUACGGCGUGAGACGUAGCCGACGGACGACGACGAGGGAGGUAGG
This 625-nucleotide ribosomal RNA is filed under the name uncultured bacterium. RNAcentral describes it as "bacterial SSU rRNA". The stretch from base 1 to 528 matches the Rfam family "Bacterial small subunit ribosomal RNA", at positions 338 to 873 of the family's 1533-position model. The record is from RNAcentral.